UAGGUUUUAUUUAAGGAAAGAAAAUAUCAUAUCAUAUCAUUAUAUCAUAUAGUUUGACCAACUUAUGUAUCUAACAACAUAUAAAAAUCGAAUGUGGACCUACUUAUUUUUCAAUUGAAUGUAAUUGACUACCUAAUUGAGUGCCACCUAUGCAUUGGGACCUCUUUUAAUUAAUACAAAAUUGAGGUUACAUCUUUUCAAAUGUUCCUCAAUCAAUAUAUAAGGGAUACCAGUUUAUUUCUGUCAAGUUCGCUUAUUGUUAUUGUUCUAAGCUUUAUUUUGAACAUUAUCGCAGCCGUUUCCGUAAGGAUGCAAUAUCCUUUUUAAGGAAAAAUUAGAAAUAUAGGACACUUUAAACUUUGAUUUGUCACAAUAAGAUUUUGUCUAAGUUUUUGUCCUAUUAAGAUUUUAAUUAAUGUUAAUACGAUUAUACCCUUAGAUUAUUGAAAUUUUAAUUUAAUUAAAAUAUAGAAUGUUUAUUAAUUAUAUUUAUUUAUAAUUGUUUUUACAUUAGAGAUGGAAAGAAAAAUCAAAAGCAUUAUCAGUUACGUAAUUGUGUCUGUUUCAUUCUUUCUUCUUCCACAAUUCAAAGCACGAUAUUUUUUCACAAAUACCUUUAUGAGGUUUCUGUUCUCAUCUUCUUCUUUAUCUUCUCAGAUUAUUGUCUUCAUCUUUACUUGAUAUCCUUCUUAGCCUCUUUGAUUUCGCAUUGUGUCAUGUGAAGAUGGUUUAUAGCAUCUUCGAUUUUAUUUCGUAUUUGAUUUGAUGGGUGAUUUUCUUUUGUUCUUGAUUAGAUCCUUUGUUAAAGGCGGCCAUUAAAUCGGAGUCACCAAAAUUAUUCACGUUUUUAAGUUUUGAAAGCUUGAAAUUGGAAGAUACAUGCUAAAUCUACAAAUUUAAACCAUACCCAGCAAAAAAAAUGCAAAAAUAAUGGACGAAAUCAAUCAAAGAAUGCAUGGUGGCUCUGUAAAAAUAUCUCUGUAACCCUAAAAACUGUCAAGAAAGAUGAUGACUUAUUUACGGUUAUGCCAUUAAUGAAAAUAAACACUAAAAAGAACAAAAUGCGCUUCUUGGGGAUCGAACCUGACAACCAUGCAACAUAAACCUACCCAAUUCCCAGUAGGCCCCAUCAAUAAAUAAUGUUCUCUAUACAAAUCACUAUGCAAUAUAAACAAUUUUCUGAAAAUUGAAAAACGGUGUUUAAAAUUAAUCCCCGAUUAAUCGGUAUUUAGUAAAGAUAUUUAAAAAAAAUAUGGAACUUCCAGAUUUUUGGUUUAGACUAAAUUUAUUAAAGAUAUUAAAUAAAAUAUUCUUUGAGAGAUUUAUGAUGUUAUAUAGUUUAGAUUCAGGAAACAUCUUCAAUUGAAUAUGAAAGUUUCCAUAUUUUCCGGAUUUACCUAGAAUAUGUAUACUAGCUACGCAGAACAAAAUAUAGUAGGCGAGAAACAUAUUCUUCUUUAAGGCGUCAUAUAAGGUAAAAGGCAGAACAAGUUAUGUCACGUAAUAUAACCGACAUAUAUCAUUGAAUUGUGGCUAUAUAUCGUUAUCAAACUGUAGGUAGACCGAAGACAUCUUUCUUGAUUAUAACGUAAUCAAUUCUAUCUGUGCUAGAUUAUACAAGAAAUGUUAGUUUACAGUAUAUACCCUAGAUAUAUCUAUGUUUAAAACUUAGAAUCACACAUAUAAACUAGGUAGAUUACUAAAAUGAAUUUUCUAACUGUACCUAGAAGAUAAAAUAAAAUAUGAUUCCAAUUUUUUUUUAAAGUUUAAACAUAUAUAUUGUCAUACUUAUGUUUCCAACACUUUUUAUAUUUUUUUACAUUUUUAAAAUUCAAUUUACUAUUUUUCUCAUUAAAAAAGGGUAAAACAUGUCCAAAAUUGUCAAAAGUAUGAGAAGUCUUAUUGUGACAGACAAAAGUUCAAAGUGUCCAAUUUUUUCAGUUUUCCCUUUUUUUAAUUUGUGUUCUAUAAGGCUGCAUCUAAAUUAUUGUUUUUUGUAACUUUUUACUGCAUUUAGCAUUACAUUGAGUUUAGUUGGAUCUUUUGUAUCAACAUUCGUUCGAUUUCUGUCUUUUAGGGCUUUCAUUUUUUCUAGGGAUUUUUGCCGAUAAGGAACAAAAAAAGCAUAUCUUUGUCCCCUUACAAUAAAAAACCCAAACUUUGUCCCUUUAGAACAAAAAAAAAUGAAAAACCUGUUUUGUCCUUUUUAAUAAAAUAGGUUAAUAGUAAGAAGUAAAAAACAAACGGAUUCAGUGAAAAAUUGCUUCACUUUCUUUGUCUCCGACUCCCGUUUCAUAAGGAACAAAAGGCGAUUCCGCCGUCGACUCUCUCUUUAUUUUAUCCGUUCAAGUUCGUCGGAGACGACGAUAUCGUCGUCACAUCUCUCCUUCGUCCUCCUUCUGUCGUCUUUACUCUUUUUGAAUCAUCGAUUACAGAGAAUUGAAGGUUAGGGUUUGGAAAUCCCCUUUCUGAUUUUUUUCCGUUUUUGUUUACGUGCAUGUAGUAUAAAGAGCAUGAAUUGUUUAAAAAUACAAAUCGAAUCGCAUUUUGAUUUUCGUUUGUGGGUUGAGUUGAUUGUGAGGUCAUCGUAGUUCUUGUUCUAUACGAUUCUGAGUUAUAUUUUGUUUGGUAUUGAAUUUGCUUUGUGUUUUGAAUUCGUAAUGGACUUAAAAGGCUAAUGAGUUGAUGUUUUGAUUUCAUGUUUUAUAGGAAUGGAUUACCAGUUUCCAAAACGCUUUAUUGAAGAAGGAGCUGAGACCAAGAUUGAUAAGAUUAACAACACCUGUAGGCGCACGAUUCUGGGGACGCUGAAGGUGGUUCUCAGGGAUGAGUAUCAAGAAGUUUUGAAAGACCCUGUCUUCGGUCCGAUUCUGGCAAUCGUAGAGAACAAGCUUAUUUACUCAGGAAAGGUUAUUCACAGUUUCAUAUUCAAGCAGCUCAAGGUUUCCAAGCUUCACGAGUUGUGGUUUCUAUUUGCAAAGAGGCCUCUCAGGUUUUCUAUGCAAGAGUUUUAUGCUGUGACUGGAUUGAAGUUCAAAGAAGAACCCGACGUAGACUUCAAUAACUGGAAGAGUGAUAAGGGGUUCUGGAGCACGGUGCUGAAGGAAAAUAAGAAGAUCAACUUAUUGGUUAUAAGGGAUGAGCUCCUUAAAGUCUGUAAGGAGUGGACGUAUGUGGACAGGGUGCGACUAGUGUAUCUGUGUAUAAUACAUGGAUUCGUCAUUGCGAAGGAUUUGAGAGUGUUUAUCCCUCACGAGUUCAUCCGUUUGGUGAUGGAUUUUGAGAAAAUGAGGAUGUAUCCUUGGGGUCUUCGCGCCUAUGAUGAGCUGCUUGCAUCAAUAUUCAAAGCAAGGGAAGAUGUGCAUCUGAAGAACAGCUAUGUAUUGGAUGGAUUCUCAUAUGCGUUUCAGAUAUGGAUUAUGGAGGCAAUCCCAGACAUCGGUUCUAUGGUGGGUAAAAAGAUCAAAAACAACUUGACGAAAGUGAGAUGUAGGAAUUGGAAAGGAAGUGGAAAAGUAUCAUAUCAAGAUAUCACCAGCCUAGAGUCCAACUUUGAUAAGGGAGAGCUGUUCCCGUUUAUAUCAUCUACUGGAAGCUUGGAUGCAACUGAUAAUGCUGAGUUCUUUAGGGAAGAUGAGAAGAAUGACGAAAGAGUCAAUCGCAUUGUUGCUCUGAUCAGUGCCAAACAAGACUGGAAGCAAUUCACUUGGGAAGUUGAGACUCUGCCUCCAAAUAUGGAGUUAUCUGACGCAGAAGAGGAUGUCGAAGUUGAAAAUGUCACAGAAACACCUGUGGAGGAACCGGCUGUUGUUGAAGAGGAACCAGCUGUUGUUACAAAAAGGGGGAAGCGUAAGCUAAUUGAUCCUGGUGUCGAGUCUCGAAAGAAACAACUUCUUUGUCAAAGAGCGGCUGAACAUAACAGUGUUGUCUCCGGUGAUAUGAAGACCUUCAUUGAAGGUUUGUUCAACUCUUCUUUCAAUUCUUUUAAGGAGCUGCUGCAGAAGGACAUACAAGAGCGUUUUGACAAGGUCGACAAUGAGAUGGCUCAACUGAAGGCAACAGUGUCGCAGAUUACGGGUCCUUCAGUUGCAGUGGGACGAGACAUAGCAUCUGAGAUUCUCUGUCCUUCUGCAACACUUGGGAAAGAGCAAGAGAAAUCAUCACAGAGUCCGGGUCCUUCAGGAGCAAAGGGAAAAGGCAAAGGCAAGGCAUCUGUGAGUGUUGAUCCUCCUCCGCUUCGUCGUAGCCCUCGGCCAGUAAGAAAGGAAGUUAAAACUGAUGACGAUGACAUGUUUGAUUUUUUGAAGAAUUUGUCACAAUCAUCGACCUAUGUAGAUAAGGGGACACAAGAAUUUUUACAAGACGCCGUGGGAAACCUUUCUCAAGCAUCACAUGUUAAAGGCUUUGAUCCCUCACAAAAAAUCAAGGACGACGAACCAGCAGAAUGGGUUACUCCACUGUCUUCAUUUAAGCCUCCGAAUUGGAAACCACCUACUCUAAAAGAUGAGGAAUUACUUGAGGACCGGGUGCAUGACAUUGAUCACUCACUAGUGUUUGUCCCUGAGGAUGGAUGGGCCAAAAUAAUUGAGUGGUCCUCAACUUCCAAUGAACUGAAAAUUGGACCUUCUAUGUUAACAAGUGUGUUAGCAGCACGCGUCAUGGGACCUACAGAGUGGCUUUUGAAUCACGAAAUUGAUGCUAUGAUGUACUUAUUCACUGAGAGGACUACUUUGCGACGAUGGGAACCAACAAAAGUAGCAUUCAUGAGCUGCAUGUUCAGUAAUCAAAUGAAGACCUCUUUCGAUGAGUUUCGGAAGGACAAGAAGAAAUUCAAAGUAUCUGAAUUGCUUCACCGGUACGGCAUUGGUGAACUUCCACCACACGGACGAACAGGACUGACGUGGGAUCUUGACGUCACACGCAUGUAUGUGCCUCUAAAUGUCGGUAAACACUGGAUCUCUAUGUGUGUCAACUUUGUUUCUCGGUCGAUAGAGGUCUUUGACUGUGAGGGAUUGAAAUACAACAAGGAAGUAGAGCCAUUUGCCAUUCUCAUCCCUAGGAUUGUCAAAUCUGUUCACUCAUCAAAGAAUCGGCAGCAACUCAAGGUCAAGCAAUAUACUGUCAGUUACGCCCCAAUGCCCUACUUAUUAAACAAGAGUAGCAGUGAUUGUGGAGUGUAUGCCUUGAAGCACAUUGAAUGUCAUCUUCUAGGCUUGGAUUUCGCCCUGGUGAAUGACAACAACAUUCGAGAAGCGCGCCAAAAGAUUGUUUACGACCUAUGGGAAGCUGCCAAUGAUCCUGAGCUUAUUUUGAGAAUGGCACAAUACACUCCUCCAAAGACGAUCACAAAUCCUCUAGUGGAACUUGAUUGAAGUUCUUUCGUUUAUUACUUGUUAAGGAAAUAGGUUGUUAUUGGCUCUCUUAUUUGACUCUUGAAUUUGAUUCUUGUAGUUACUCUUUAGUUUUUACUUUAUUUGAAACAUUUAGUUGUUCGAUUUAUGUGUUGUGACAAUGCUUAUUAACCCCUAAAUAUUCCCUAAAUGAGUGGUAUGCGAAGACAAUCCUUAUCAACCACUAAAUAUUUCCUAUUUGACACUAAAGUAAGACAAUUCAUUUGAAACCUUAUUUAUGCUCUAAAUGCCACUAAAGAAUGACAAUUCUUAUCAACCCCUAAAUAUUCCCUAUUUGACAUUAAAGUAAGACAAACCAUUUCAACCCCUAUCUAUGCCCUAAACGCCACUAAAGAAUGACAAACAUUAUUCAACCCCUAUGUAUACCCUAAAUGCUACUGAAGUAUGACAAACGAUCUCAACCCAUUGAAUCCACACAAACCUUUUAAAUCAGAAAAAGAUCUUACUAAUCAAGACAAAUCUUAAUAAUCAAAACACAUACAACUUUACCCUAACUUCCAACCCGAGAGGAAGAUUGUUUGACCUAAAAAAAUCUUAUAUAAGACCAUCAAAUGGCCUGAAACCCUAUAUAUUCCAUCGUUUGUUUCUCCUACAUCUCGAAAAAAACAUCUCGUUCCUCCUCAACAAAGAAUGACGAACAUGAAUCACAAUGAAGGGAUCCCUUCCAGAUGCUGGUGUGGGAAGGGGAUUGUCACAUAUGUUUCAAAAACAGAAGAGAACCCAUAUCGACGGUUCUUCAGAUGCGAGAUUGGGAUACAGAGAAAGAACGAAAUCCAUCUUUUUAAGUGGGUAGACGAGGCUCUGUUAGAUGAGAUUCAGAGGAUGGAUGAGCAUCAAACGAGAAUUGGCGAGGAAAUUGAAGAUCUGAGAAGUUCCAUGAAGAAGACAGUUGAGGAGGAAGUUAUGAAACAUAAGAAUUCGAUUGUACGUGCCUAUGACUUCGUUUCCCAGGAAAUCCGUGCAAUGUAGGUUGUUUAGGAUCCAUUCUCACUAUUUUAUGUCUCUGGUCCAAACGUGAUUGAUAAUGUAAUGGUUCUCUGUUUAAUGUUAAAAUAAAACUUCUAU
This is an RNA transcript of Brassica rapa (field mustard), 6476 nucleotides long. RefSeq lists it as uncharacterized. The record is from RefSeq and is a predicted model, not a curated record. Lineage: Eukaryota; Viridiplantae; Streptophyta; Magnoliopsida; Brassicales; Brassicaceae.